UACGUAGGGUGCAAGCGUUAAUCGGAAUUACUGGGCGUAAAGCGUGCGCAGGCGGCGCCGCAAGUCAGGCGUGAAAUCCCCGAGCUUAACUUGGGAAUGGCGCUUGAAACUACGGUGCUGGAGUGUGGCAGAGGGAGGUGGAAUUCCACGUGUAGCGGUGAAAUGCGUAGAGAUGUGGAGGAACACCGAUGGCGAAGGCAGCCUCCUGGGCCAACACUGACGCUCAUGCACGAAAGCGUGGGGAGCAAACAGG
RNAcentral lists this ribosomal RNA (253 nucleotides) under uncultured bacterium. RNAcentral's name for it is "partial 16S ribosomal RNA". It matches the Rfam family "Bacterial small subunit ribosomal RNA", at positions 524 to 776 of the family's 1533-position model. The record is from RNAcentral.